UACGUAGGGGGCAAGCGUUAUCCGGAUUUACUGGGUGUAAAGGGAGCGCAGGCGGCCUGCUAAGUCUGGAGUGAAAGGUACCGGCUCAACCGGUACAGGCUCUGGAAACUGGCGGGCUAGAGAGCAGGAGAGGGCGGUGGAAUUCCAUGUGUAGCGGUGAAAUGCGUAGAGAUAUGGAGGAACACCAGUGGCGAAGGCAGCUCACUGGACUGCAACUGACACUGAGGCUCGAAAGUGUGGGUAUCAAACAGG
This 252-nucleotide ribosomal RNA is filed under the name uncultured Allobaculum sp. RNAcentral describes it as "partial 16S ribosomal RNA". It matches the Rfam family "Bacterial small subunit ribosomal RNA", at positions 524 to 776 of the family's 1533-position model. The record is from RNAcentral. Lineage: Bacteria; Bacillati; Bacillota; Erysipelotrichia; Erysipelotrichales; Erysipelotrichaceae.